AUGCAAGUGUGCGGCUGCGUUGGCAAACCAGAAAGGGAGAACAGCUCAUCAAUGAGGAGCAAUUGCGUCGCCAUGCUUCAGUUGCACCAGACAGAUGAUGGUGGGUGGUAUGUAUCUGAAAAUCGCGCCUCCCACACCCAUGAAAUACUACGGACUUGUGCUGAGAAGCUGCACUGGCCAUCACACCGGCACAUUGACACGUACACAAGAGACCUUGUGAAACAGUUGCACCGGAACAAUGUAAAUCUGGGGAAGGUAUACAGCAUCAUUGGAAGCCUAUUUGGGCAGAUGGAGAACAUCCCGUUCACAAAAGAGGUGCCUUAG
RNAcentral lists this ribosomal RNA (324 nucleotides) under Triticum aestivum (bread wheat). RNAcentral's name for it is "partial small subunit ribosomal RNA". The record is from RNAcentral. Lineage: Eukaryota; Viridiplantae; Streptophyta; Magnoliopsida; Poales; Poaceae.